GAUGAAGAUAGAAUGAAAUGAAUGAAAUGAAAUCAACCCGAAUAAGAUCCGCAGAUUGCAGGACGCAUUAUGUUACUGCCUAUCGCGCCGCAGAAAACAAACUACGCAGAACAACGGAACAAAGAAACCGCCACAGAACGAAAGGCCGAAUAAAUAAACGAAUGAAACAUUCAACCUAAACAGAAUCGAAAUCAAAUAUAACCAUCUGACAACGUCAAAUAACGCAUAUAGUCAGGAAAGUCCCGCAGGACCAAUCAAGCAACACCCAGUCAGUUAAUAAAAUAAAUGAAACCGAAAUAGAAUCAAAGCAACCAGAAAAGAAACGAAACAAACAAGAAACAGCACACCGUCAUCAAAGAGCUAUACUAUUAUCGAAGAGAAACGGCUUGAAUAAAUUGAAUUAAAGAAUACCAGAGAAGAAUAUCAAAAUGUCAAAAUGUCCAAGGAAUGUCCAAGGAUAGAGGUGACAAGAAAUAAAAUAAAAUAAAUAGUGGUAAACAGUGAACGUUGUGCCAUCAUGAGUCAAAAUAAACUAAAUCUUAACAGUUACCUUGAUUCAAUUUAAUUCAGAAUGAAUGAACAAUGACAGCAUGAACGAAUGAACGACUGAACAAUGAAAUCAAUUAAAGAUAUUAAAGAAGAAUGAAGUAAAAAAUAAUAAUAAGCAUAAAGUAUAAAGUGAAGGCCGUAACCAACCUAAUGUAAAUAAUGUAAUGUAAUGCACUGUAAUAUAAGUAAUGCAAUAUACUGUAAAACAGAAUGUAAUAAUAAACUGAAUACAAAAUACAAAAUACAAGAAAUGAACUCAAUAAAUAUAACCGUAAAGAUUAUUAACUACAAUACUCUAUUUCUCACUAGAGUAGAUUAUAAGUUAGAUUGUAAACGGUAAAUGGUAGAUGAUAAAUGAUCAUGUCAAUACAAUUGCAAACAGAACUAAAUAAUGAAUGACAUAUCAAAAUAGAGUAGCUAAAGCAACAAAUAAAUGAAUCAAAUAUAAAGUACGCAGUUCAAUAAACACUAUACCAGUGUAUAAACUGAAAUAAGAAUAAAAUGAAAUAAAAUAAAAUAGAAUAAAUAAAUAAGUACAUAAUAAAUACGAGUACUUGAAUGAUAAGGUUAUAAUAAAAUUCACG
This is a non-coding RNA of Osmia lignaria (orchard mason bee), 1133 nucleotides long. Lineage: Eukaryota; Metazoa; Arthropoda; Insecta; Hymenoptera; Megachilidae. The record is from RefSeq and is a predicted model, not a curated record.